Molecule: long non-coding RNA, 658 nt
Organism: Hibiscus syriacus
Lineage: Eukaryota; Viridiplantae; Streptophyta; Magnoliopsida; Malvales; Malvaceae
Exons: 3
Source: RefSeq, a predicted model, not a curated record
AGGGGCGUUACAAGUCUAUAGUUUUAACAAAGCUUCAACCUGAAGUAAUGGGAUAAGUUCAGUUGGGGUUCAAGCAAGAGCUGCAUUCUCUCCUCCAUAUCAAGCGCCAUGUUUGCUUGAUGGUCCUCUGUCUUCUCUCCAUUGAGCAAGUCGAUUGUCCACUUAGAAUCCGUUUCAACUAUUAAAUUCCUCGCACCCAGGGAUUUUGCAAGUAUAAGCCCUUGUCUGAUUCCCUAAAGUUUGGCCAAAACACUGGUGGUAUUUCCAAUAUUCAACAAUAAUUCAUGGACUCAGUUUCCGUUAUCGUCUCUGAUGAGUCCCCCUGCCGCUGUGACACCCGUGGAAGUUUUACAUGCUCCGUCUGUAUUUAGGAUCCAGUGAGCAUCUGGAGGCUUCGUCCAUCUCACCCGGCGAGAUUCUCUGGUCCCAUAUGGCUGAUGCGAAGAGAGUUGCCCAUUGAACUCCAUCGAAGCAUAUUUUCUUGGAUCGACAGUUUUUGCUAUGCCACUCUUCGAACAUUCUGGUAUCGAAUUGUUUGUCCUUGUAAUAUGCUUUAAGUUCUAUCCAGACUAGUUUUGCAAUUCUGUAAUUUGGUAGUAUGUUCCAUACUUUCGAUCGUUCCUUGACAAUCCUUGCAAUACUUCUCUUGUAUCAUGUU